This is a non-coding RNA of Phlegmacium glaucopus, 100 nucleotides long. The record is from the annotation of a GenBank genome assembly. Lineage: Eukaryota; Fungi; Basidiomycota; Agaricomycetes; Agaricales; Cortinariaceae.
GUCACUUUGCCGGAGUGGUUAACGGGAUCGCCUGCUACCUUUGAAGUAGUUGAUUAGCGGUUGGUCUUUGACCGCGAGUGUUCGAAUCGCUCAGGUGACG